GGUCUUAAAAGUAUUAGCUGGCUCUUGAUUAUGAGUUUGGUUCUACUCGGCGUGAUAAUUAUCUGACCGCUGAGGACAUCUUUCGGGAUGGCCAGUCUUCUUUCUAUGAGCUGCUUCUAAUCUGGCUAAUGGAUUACUUGUGAUCUGUUCCACUUUUCAACUUUGACCUCGAAUCAGGCGGGACUACCCGCUGAACUUAA
Molecule: unclassified non-coding RNA, 200 nt
Filed under: soil metagenome
Description: partial contains internal transcribed spacer 2 and large subunit ribosomal RNA
Source: RNAcentral